CAGUUAUCUUGAGAAAAUAUCUUUUUUUAAUAUUUAUUUUUUAGGUGUAGAUGGAUACAACACAAUGCCUUUAUUUUUAUGUGGUGCUGAGGAUCGAACCUGGGUCCCGCCUGAGCUGGGCGAGCGCUCUACCACUGAGCCACAAUCCCAGCCCCGAGAAAAUAUCUUAAACAAUUGCUGGAUUACAAGGUUAAUAUAUGUGUGAAUUUAUGGUAAACUGUGACACCAAUUUCCAAAGUGAUUGUACCAUUUUAUCCUUUCACCACCAAUGUAUGAAUGCUUCAGUUAGUUAAUACUUUUGCUGACAUUAGUUUUUGUCUACAGAUCAGUUUUGUGAUAUUAAAAACCCUACAACUAAUAUUUUCUGUAACUAAAGGAAAGUGGUCAAAUUUAAGAAAUUAAAUUUGAUACAAUAGUCUUUAACUACAAAAUGCAAUCAGAUUUUACAAUUUUUUUUUUCACUAAUGUCCUCGUCUAUUCCAGAUCCAAUCUAAGAUUCCAAGUUACAUUAUUUAUCUCCUUAGAGGUAGGGUGAGGAUAAAAGUGAAAUUAAAUAAACACUGUAAAAUGAACACAAUAGACACCCUUUCCCCAUAUCUCCCAUUUUGCUUUCAAUGGUUUCAGUCACCCAUGGUUGACUGUUGUUUGAAAAUAUUAAAUGGAAAAUUCCAGGUAUAAUUGAUAGGUUUUAUAAUUGAGUAGUAUAUCAUUUCACCAGGUUUGAAAAUCAUUCCUUUGCCAAUGUACCCAUGUGGUCUAUGCUGCCUGUCCAUUAGUCACUUAGUAACUAUCUCAGUUAUCACAUCAGCUGUUGCAGCUUCAUACUGCUUAUGUUCAAGUAGUUCUCAUUUAUCUUGAUAAUGGUUCCAUAGCAUAUUAACAGAGAUUCUGGCCCAAAGAAAGGCAGUAAAGUGGUUCCUUUAAGUGAAAAGGUGAAAGCUCACUAACUUAGGAAAGAGAAAAAUCAUAUGCUGAGUUUGUUAAGAUCCAUGUUAAGAACAAAUCUUGGGGCUGGUGUUGUGGCUCAGUGGUAGAGUGCUUGCCUAGCAUGCACGAGGCACUGGGUUCGAUCCUCAGCACCACAUAAAUGUCAACUGAAGAUAUUGUGUUUACCUAAAACUUAAGAAUAAAUAUUUUUUUUAAAAAAGAACAAAUCUAUCUGUGAAAUUGUAAAGAUGGAAGAAAAUAUUCUUACUAGUUAUGUUAUUGCAC
Molecule: long non-coding RNA, 1212 nt
Filed under: Marmota monax (woodchuck)
Lineage: Eukaryota; Metazoa; Chordata; Mammalia; Rodentia; Sciuridae
Rfam family: tRNA (bases 1014-1085)
Source: RNAcentral